This 661-nucleotide ribosomal RNA is filed under the name Azotobacter vinelandii. RNAcentral's name for it is "bacterial SSU rRNA". It matches the Rfam family "Bacterial small subunit ribosomal RNA", at positions 54 to 711 of the family's 1533-position model. Lineage: Bacteria; Pseudomonadati; Pseudomonadota; Gammaproteobacteria; Pseudomonadales; Pseudomonadaceae. The record is from RNAcentral.
CAUGCAAGUCGAGCGGCAGCGGGACCUUCGGGUUGCCGGCGAGCGGCGGACGGGUGAGAAAUGCCUGGAAUCUGCCUGUUAGUGGGGGAUAACGCGGGGAAACUCGCGCUAAUACCGCAUACGUCCUACGGGAGAAAGUGGGGGACCUUCGGGCCUCACGCUAACAGAUGAGCCUAGGUCGGAUUAGCUAGUUGGUGGGGUAACGGCCCACCAAGGCGACGAUCCGUAACUGGUCUGAGAGGAUGAUCAGUCACACUGGAACUGAGACACGGUCCAGACUCCUACGGGAGGCAGCAGUGGGGAAUAUUGGACAAUGGGCGAAAGCCUGAUCCAGCCAUGCCGCGUGUGUGAAGAAGGUCUUCGGAUUGUAAAGCACUUUAAGCCGGGAGGAAGGGCUGUAGGCGAAUACCCUGCAGUCUUGACGUUACCGGCAGAAUAAGCACCGGCUAACUUCGUGCCAGCAGCCGCGGUAAUACGAAGGGUGCAAGCGUUAAUCGGAAUUACUGGGCGUAAAGCGCGCGUAGGUGGUUUGGUAAGUUGGAUGUGAAAGCCCCGGGCUCAACCUGGGAACUGCAUCCAAAACUGCCUGGCUAGAGUACGGUAGAGGGUGGUGGAAUUUCCUGUGUAGCGGUGAAAUGCGUAGAUAUUGGAAGGAACACCA